AAAGAGUGCGUAAUAGCUCACUAGUCGAGAGGUUCUGCGCCGAAAAUGUCCGGGGCUAAAACACUACACCGAAGCCAAGGGAUGACGAAAGUCAUCGGUAGAGGAGCAAUCUUACCGACGCAGAAGCCAUACCGAAAGGAGUGGUGGAGAAGUAAGAAGAGAGAAUGCCGGAAUGAGUAGCGAGAGUGAGGUGAGAAUCCUCACGGCCAAAUACCCAAGGAUUCCAGAGUAAAGCUGAUCUGCUCUGGGUAAGUCGGGACCUAAGGCGAGGGAGAAAUCCGUAGUCGAUGGACAUCAGGUAUAGAAUCCUGAACUGCAUAUAAUCAGAAAUGUGGGGACACAGAAACUAAAGUCGAACCCGGGAGAGCAAAGACCGGGAUAAGCGAGGUAGCAGGUGGUAGGAAAAACCGCCACGAAAUGCGAAUGCGUGAUAUGUAGCGAAGAAAAGUAGCGAAGUCGAAUAGGGAGCUGUCAAGAAAAGCCGCUAUAGCGUUAUAUGUACCCGUACCGAAAACCGACACAGGUGGGUGAGGAGAGAAUCCUAAGGCCGGCGGGAGAAGCAUUGUUAAGGAACUCGGCAAAAUGACCCCGUAACUUCGGGAGAAGGGGUACCGAAAGGUCACAGAAAAAAGGCUCAAGCAACUGUUUAGCAAAAACACAGGUCUAUGCGAAACCGAAAGGUGAAGUAUAUGGGCUGACGCCUGCCCGGUGCUGGAAGGUUAAGAGGAGAGGUUAGGCAACGAAGCUUUGAAUCUAAGCCCCAGUAAACGGCGGCCGUAACUAUAACGGUCCUAAGGUAGCGAAAUUCCUUGUCGGGUAAGUUCCGACCCGCACGAAAGGCGUAAUGAUUUGAGCGCUGUCUCAACAAUGCACCCGGUGAAAUUGAAGUACCAGUGAAGAUGCUGGUUACCUGCGCCAGGACGGAAAGACCCCAUGGAGCUUUACUCUAGUUUGAUACUGGGGUUUGAUGAUGCAUGUACAGGAUAGGUGGGAGACUGCGAGGCGAGGACGCCAGUUUUCGCGGAGUCACUGUUGGGAUACCACCCUUGUAUCAUUGAAUUUCUAACCCGUGGCCGUAAGCCGGUCAGGGGACAAUGUCAGAUGGGGAGUUUGACUGGGGCGGUCGCCUCCGAAAGAGUAUCGGAGGCGCUCAAAGGUUCCCUCAGAAUGGUCGGAAACCAUUCAAAGAGUGCAAAGGCAGAAGGGAGCUUGACUGCGACACCGACGGGUGGAGCAGGUACGAAAGUAGGACUUAGUGAUCCGGUGGUAUGUAAGUGGGAAUGCCAUCGCUCAACGGAUAAAAGCUACCCUGGGGAUAACAGGCUUAUCACUCCCAAGAGUUCACAUCGACGGAGUGGUUUGGCACCUCGAUGUCGGCUCAUCGCAUCCUGGGGCUGAAGUCGGUCCCAAGGGUUGGGCUGUUCGCCCAUUAAAGCGGUACGCGAGCUGGGUUCAGAACGUCGUGAGACAGUUCGGUCCCUAUCCGGCGUGGGCGUAAGAUAUUUGAGAGGAGCUGUCCUUAGUACGAGAGGACCGGGAUGGACUGACCACUGGUGUACCUGUUGGGUAGCAGACCCACGGCAGGGUAGCCAAGUCGGGAACGGAUAAACGCUGAAGGCAUCUAAGCGUGAAGCCGACCUCAAGAUGAGAUAUCUCAUGCGAAAGCAGUAAGACCCCUUAAAGACAAUGAGGUAGAUAGGGCUAAGGUGUAAGUGCAGAAAUGCAUUAAGCUGAUAGUUACUAAUCGGUCGAGGGUUUAACCA
RNAcentral lists this ribosomal RNA (1763 nucleotides) under human metagenome. RNAcentral describes it as "bacterial LSU rRNA". It matches the Rfam family "Bacterial large subunit ribosomal RNA", at positions 1125 to 2925 of the family's 2925-position model. The record is from RNAcentral.